RNAcentral lists this ribosomal RNA (1567 nucleotides) under Enterococcus durans. Its description in RNAcentral is "bacterial SSU rRNA". It matches the Rfam family "Bacterial small subunit ribosomal RNA". The record is from RNAcentral. Lineage: Bacteria; Bacillati; Bacillota; Bacilli; Lactobacillales; Enterococcaceae.
AUUAUGAGAGUUUGAUCCUGGCUCAGGACGAACGCUGGCGGCGUGCCUAAUACAUGCAAGUCGUACGCUUCUUUUUCCACCGGAGCUUGCUCCACCGGAAAAAGAAGAGUGGCGAACGGGUGAGUAACACGUGGGUAACCUACCCAUCAGAAGGGGAUAACACUUGGAAACAGGUGCUAAUACCGUAUAACAAUCGAAACCGCAUGGCUUUGAUUUGAAAGGCGCUUUCGGGUGUCGCUGAUGGAUGGACCCGCGGUGCAUUAGCUAGUUGGUGAGGUAACGGCUCACCAAGGCCACGAUGCAUAGCCGACCUGAGAGGGUGAUCGGCCACAUUGGGACUGAGACACGGCCCAAACUCCUACGGGAGGCAGCAGUAGGGAAUCUUCGGCAAUGGACGAAAGUCUGACCGAGCAACGCCGCGUGAGUGAAGAAGGUUUUCGGAUCGUAAAACUCUGUUGUUAGAGAAGAACAAGGAUGAGAGUAACUGUUCAUCCCUUGACGGUAUCUAACCAGAAAGCCACGGCUAACUACGUGCCAGCAGCCGCGGUAAUACGUAGGUGGCAAGCGUUGUCCGGAUUUAUUGGGCGUAAAGCGAGCGCAGGCGGUUUCUUAAGUCUGAUGUGAAAGCCCCCGGCUCAACCGGGGAGGGUCAUUGGAAACUGGGAGACUUGAGUGCAGAAGAGGAGAGUGGAAUUCCAUGUGUAGCGGUGAAAUGCGUAGAUAUAUGGAGGAACACCAGUGGCGAAGGCGGCUCUCUGGUCUGUAACUGACGCUGAGGCUCGAAAGCGUGGGGAGCAAACAGGAUUAGAUACCCUGGUAGUCCACGCCGUAAACGAUGAGUGCUAAGUGUUGGAGGGUUUCCGCCCUUCAGUGCUGCAGCUAACGCAUUAAGCACUCCGCCUGGGGAGUACGACCGCAAGGUUGAAACUCAAAGGAAUUGACGGGGGCCCGCACAAGCGGUGGAGCAUGUGGUUUAAUUCGAAGCAACGCGAAGAACCUUACCAGGUCUUGACAUCCUUUGACCACUCUAGAGAUAGAGCUUCCCCUUCGGGGGCAAAGUGACAGGUGGUGCAUGGUUGUCGUCAGCUCGUGUCGUGAGAUGUUGGGUUAAGUCCCGCAACGAGCGCAACCCUUAUUGUUAGUUGCCAUCAUUCAGUUGGGCACUCUAGCAAGACUGCCGGUGACAAACCGGAGGAAGGUGGGGAUGACGUCAAAUCAUCAUGCCCCUUAUGACCUGGGCUACACACGUGCUACAAUGGGAAGUACAACGAGUCGCGAAGUCGCGAGGCUAAGCUAAUCUCUUAAAGCUUCUCUCAGUUCGGAUUGUAGGCUGCAACUCGCCUACAUGAAGCCGGAAUCGCUAGUAAUCGCGGAUCAGCACGCCGCGGUGAAUACGUUCCCGGGCCUUGUACACACCGCCCGUCACACCACGAGAGUUUGUAACACCCGAAGUCGGUGAGGUAACCUUUUGGAGCCAGCCGCCUAAGGUGGGAUAGAUGAUUGGGGUGAAGUCGUAACAAGGUAGCCGUAUCGGAAGGUGCGGCUGGAUCACCUCCUUUCUAAGGAA